GACGAACGCUGGCGGCGUGCCUAAUACAUGCAAGUCGAACGCUGAAGGAGGAGCUUGCUUCUCUGGAUGAGUUGCGAACGGGUGAGUAACGCGUAGGUAACCUGCCUGGUAGCGGGGGAUAACUAUUGGAAACGAUAGCUAAUACCGCAUAAUAGUAGAUGUUGCAUGACAUUUGCUUAAAAGGUGCAAUUGCAUCACUACCAGAUGGACCUGCGUUGUAUUAGCUAGUUGGUGGGGUAACGGCUCACCAAGGCGACGAUGCAUAGCCGACCUGAGAGGGUGAUCGGCCACACUGGGACUGAGACACGGCCCAGACUCCUACGGGAGGCAGCAGUAGGGAAACGUCGGCAAUGGACGGAAGUCUGACCGAGCAACGCCGCGGGAGUGAAGAAGGUUGUCGGAUCGUAAAGCUCGGUUGUAAGAGAAGAACGAGUGUGAGAGUGGAAAGUUCACACUGUGACGGUAUCUUACCAGAAAGGGACGGCUAACUACGUG
This 495-nucleotide ribosomal RNA is filed under the name uncultured bacterium. Its description in RNAcentral is "partial 16S ribosomal RNA". It matches the Rfam family "Bacterial small subunit ribosomal RNA", at positions 28 to 507 of the family's 1533-position model. The record is from RNAcentral.